UACGUAGGGGUCGAGCGUUGUCCGGAAUCAUUGGGCGUAAAGAGCGUGUAGGCGGCUUGGCAAGUCUGACGUGAAAGCCCGCGGCUCAACCGCGGAUUGUCGUUGGAAACUGCCUCGCUAGAGUCCGGAAGAGGAGAGCGGAAUUCCUGGUGUAGCGGUGAAAUGCGCAGAUAUCAGGAGGAACACCAAUGGCGAAGGCAGCUCGCUGGGACGUGACUGACGCUGAGACGCGAAAGCGUGGGGAGCAAACAGG
RNAcentral lists this ribosomal RNA (253 nucleotides) under uncultured bacterium. RNAcentral's name for it is "partial 16S ribosomal RNA". It matches the Rfam family "Bacterial small subunit ribosomal RNA", at positions 524 to 776 of the family's 1533-position model. The record is from RNAcentral.